UUACGAAGACGAAGACGACGAUGACGAUGACGAUGAGGAUCCUGAUGAGGAAGAAGAAGAGGAGGAUGACGAGAAUCAAGUGGUGCCGUGGUCGGGGGACGAUUCACAAUCGCCGCCGCAGCCGCCGCCGCCGCCGGUGUCCAGUUCCUGUAGUAGUAUUAGUGAAGAAGACUUUUCGUUGAAACGGAUGCGUGAUUUUGGUGAUCUUUUUUCUGAUGUGAGCCUCUAUUUAGUUUUUUUUUCCUUUUAAUUUUCUUUUUUCAAUUUUGUUUUCAAUGCUCUGCUUGUUUUUUUUUUUUUCCUCUUCUUCUGUAUAACUUCUUGCAUAGAAUUGUGGGCGGAUCUGGCAGGAUGUGAUUUUUUUUUUUAAAAAAAAAAAAGUUUAAUAAACAUUUUUCUGUGAAUUAAGAAAUUAGAUGAAAGUAUAUAGACGAACUGUUUUGACUGUUGAACGAAGAGUAGUAAGACUCAAAUUCUUUUAUUUAUUUUAUAUUCUUACAUCUAACCUUAUGAAUAUUCUUUUUCAAAUGAAUGCAGGACGAAAUCGGGUGCUCUUCGCGACCAGUCACAAAUGAGGAAGCCGCCGCUUCAAUGAGCUCAUAUAGGCCAUUGAAACAGCCAAGACCAACGAUAUC
Molecule: long non-coding RNA, 635 nt
Filed under: Citrus sinensis (sweet orange)
Lineage: Eukaryota; Viridiplantae; Streptophyta; Magnoliopsida; Sapindales; Rutaceae
Description: long non-coding RNA (CSIN_LNC000079)
Source: RNAcentral